This 132-nucleotide non-coding RNA is filed under the name Compsopogon caeruleus. Lineage: Eukaryota; Rhodophyta; Compsopogonophyceae; Compsopogonales; Compsopogonaceae. The record is from RNAcentral.
GUUUUUUUUUUUUUUUUUUUCAAGCCAAGAUAAUUUUCUUCAUCGGAGAAAUUUCGAGCAAACAAAAACAAUGAGGUCAUUGAGAGGCAAAAGUCGGUAGCCAAGAAAUCAUAAAUUUUGGUUUUUGAUUCU